RNAcentral lists this ribosomal RNA (219 nucleotides) under uncultured bacterium. RNAcentral describes it as "partial 16S ribosomal RNA". It matches the Rfam family "Bacterial small subunit ribosomal RNA", at positions 524 to 743 of the family's 1533-position model. The record is from RNAcentral.
UACGAAGGGGGCUAGCGUUGCUCGGAAUCACUGGGCGUAAAGGGUGCGUAGGCGGGUCUUUAAGUCAGGGGUGAAAUCCUGGAGCUCAACUCCAGAACUGCCUUGAUACUGAAGAUCUUGAGUUCGGGAGAGGUGAGUGGAACUGCGAGUGUAGAGGUGAAAUUCGUAGAUAUUCGCAAGAACACCAGUGGCGAAGGCGGCUCACUGGCCCGAUACUAC